This 30-nucleotide small RNA is filed under the name Bombyx mori (domestic silkworm). Its description in RNAcentral is "ovarian small RNA-17493". The record is from RNAcentral. Lineage: Eukaryota; Metazoa; Arthropoda; Insecta; Lepidoptera; Bombycidae.
GGGACUUUGAGCCCCCCUUCAUGGGCGUGC